This is a long non-coding RNA of Chionomys nivalis (European snow vole), 760 nucleotides long. RefSeq lists it as uncharacterized. The record is from RefSeq and is a predicted model, not a curated record. The transcript is spliced from 3 exons. NCBI's taxonomy places the organism in Eukaryota, Metazoa, Chordata, Mammalia, Rodentia, Cricetidae.
CACCUGCACUCAGGCGACAUGGGGGGCACAGAAGCAGCUGGUUACACAGAGGUUUACAGAGAGAUCGAAACAGAGAACCACAAAGAAUACAGUCUACUUGUAAGGUAUGUUUUGACUUCUUAACUGUGAAACUAGAUAUAAAAUCCCUCCGCACCCUUUACUUUUGACCUGCUAAGUCCUGCAUUAAGUACUGUAGACCCCAUGCACAUGACAAGAGUCAUCUGAACACAAUGGACGCUCAGUCACUCAUCUUGUCUCUGUUCUCAGCACCUGUCAGUCUGCUCCCUCCACCCAGGCUCUGGCUCUGCCUCCUCUGCUGUCAUUGGGGCUUGAAGAUGUCAGUUAUCCUCAUUUGCACCUGGACUGCCAGACUCCUCAUCCCAUUGCCAUUUUCUCAGAGAUCUGGAGCUUGGCAUCCCGUCUGUAGGCGCAGGCGUUUCCACAGCAAGGCUCCUGUCCCCAUGCUGAAAUCAUGGCCAAGCACGUCCUCUGAACAAUGGAUGGCACACAGUCUUCCCACCUUAAAUGAAGUAUCUCCUCAAGGACCACCGCACAGGACUUUGCAGGCCUCUGGCCCAGGCUCUGGCUAAAAAGGAAGCAGCUGCUGAGGCCCAUGCUGGCACAGGGGUUUUACCAGGGCACAGGCUCCUACCAUACUCACCAAACACUCCUUUGAAGACCCACAACUCCAGGCGGAUUGGCAGAAGACUAACACAGGGAUUGAAAGUCGGAACUAUCUCUUGGCCACCACCAACAAUGC